UACGUAGGGUGCAAGCGUUGUCCGGAAUUACUGGGCGUAAAGAGCUCGUAGGUGGUUUGUCACGUCGUCUGCGAAAUUCCACAGCUUAACUGUGGGCGUGCAGGCGAUACGGGCUGACUUGAGUACUGUAGGGGUAACUGGAAUUCCUGGUGUAGCGGUGAAAUGCGCAGAUAUCAGGAGGAACACCGAUGGCGAAGGCAGGUUACUGGGCAGUUACUGACGCUGAGGAGCGAAAGCA
This 238-nucleotide ribosomal RNA is filed under the name uncultured Actinomycetales bacterium. RNAcentral's name for it is "partial 16S ribosomal RNA". It matches the Rfam family "Bacterial small subunit ribosomal RNA", at positions 524 to 761 of the family's 1533-position model. The record is from RNAcentral. Lineage: Bacteria; Bacillati; Actinomycetota; Actinomycetes; Actinomycetales.